Molecule: RNA transcript, 619 nt
Organism: Vicugna pacos (alpaca)
Lineage: Eukaryota; Metazoa; Chordata; Mammalia; Artiodactyla; Camelidae
Gene name: 10 kDa heat shock protein, mitochondrial pseudogene
Source: RefSeq, a predicted model, not a curated record
UGAGCAGUUGAAAAAUGGCUAGUUCACACGUGUCCGGAGAGCUGGACUGCGGGUUUCUCCUUGGAACAGCGGCGGGAAGGGGAGAGUAUGAUCUGCGGGGACCAGAGUCAUGCAGGACAGGCAUUUAGAAAGUUUCUCCCUCUCUUUGACUGUGUAUUAGUUGAAAGGAGUGCAGCCGAAACUGUAACCAAAGGAGGCAUUAUGCUUCCAGAAAAAUCUCAAGGAAAAGUAUUGCAGGCAACAGUAGUGGCUGUUGGAUCAGGCUCUAAAGGAAAGGGUGGAGAGAUUCAACCAGUUAGUGUGAAAGUUGAAGAUAAAGUACUUCUUGCAGAAUAUGGAGGCACCAAAGUAGUUCUAGAUGACAAGGAUUAUUUCUUAUUUAGAGAUGGUGGCAUUCUUGGAAAAUACAUAGACUGAAAUGUCACUAUCGAAAUGGCAUCACGUGAAGCUGCCCUUUCCACUGAAGUUCUGAAAUCUUUCCAUCAUGUAAAUAAUUUCCACGUCUCUCUUUUAUAAUAAACUAAUGAUAUCCAAACUAAUGACAUCUAGUGUCUCUCAAAUUUAGUUUCACUGUACAGAUAGAAACAUUUCCAAAUAAAAAUAUAUAAAUGAAAAAAAA